CACUGGUUGAGGGUUGGUUGCUCUCCAGAUGAGUCCAAGGCAAGACGAAACCAGUG
RNAcentral lists this small RNA (56 nucleotides) under Helianthus annuus (common sunflower). Lineage: Eukaryota; Viridiplantae; Streptophyta; Magnoliopsida; Asterales; Asteraceae. The record is from RNAcentral.